Molecule: ribosomal RNA, 410 nt
Filed under: Bacillus siamensis
Lineage: Bacteria; Bacillati; Bacillota; Bacilli; Caryophanales; Bacillaceae
Description: bacterial SSU rRNA
Rfam family: Bacterial small subunit ribosomal RNA
Source: RNAcentral
GGUAACCUGCCUGUAAGACUGGGAUAACUCCGGGAAACCGGGGCUAAUACCGGAUGGUUGUUUGAACCGCAUGGUUCAGACAUAAAAGGUGGCUUCGGCUACCACUUACAGAUGGACCCGCGGCGCAUUAGCUAGUUGGUGAGGUAACGGCUCACCAAGGCGACGAUGCGUAGCCGACCUGAGAGGGUGAUCGGCCACACUGGGACUGAGACACGGCCCAGACUCCUACGGGAGGCAGCAGUAGGGAAUCUUCCGCAAUGGACGAAAGUCUGACGGAGCAACGCCGCGUGAGUGAUGAAGGUUUUCGGAUCGUAAAGCUCUGUUGUUAGGGAAGAACAAGUGCCGUUCAAAUAGGGCGGCACCUUGACGGUACCUAACCAGAAAGCCACGGCUAACUACGUGCCAGCAGC